Molecule: ribosomal RNA, 115 nt
Filed under: Magnetococcales bacterium
Lineage: Bacteria; Pseudomonadati; Pseudomonadota; Magnetococcia; Magnetococcales
Source: RNAcentral
CCUGGUGGCAAUGGCGAGGGGGAUACACCCGAUCCCAUCCCGAACUCGGAAGUUAAGCCCCUCUGCGCCGUUGAUACUGCAUCUUAAGGUGUGGGAAAGUAGGUCACUGCCAGGA